RNAcentral lists this ribosomal RNA (485 nucleotides) under uncultured bacterium. Its description in RNAcentral is "partial 16S ribosomal RNA". It matches the Rfam family "Bacterial small subunit ribosomal RNA", at positions 30 to 507 of the family's 1533-position model. The record is from RNAcentral.
AUUGAACGCUGGCGGCAUGCCUUACACAUGCAAGUCGAACGGCAGCACGGGUGCUUGCACCUGGUGGCGAGUGGCGAACGGGUGAGUAAUACAUCGGAACAUGUCCUGUAGUGGGGGAUAGCCCGGCGAAAGCCGGAUUAAUACCGCAUACGAUCUACGGAUGAAAGCGGGGGACCUUCGGGCCUCGCGCUAUAGGGUUGGCCGAUGGCUGAUUAGCUAGUUGGUGGGGUAAGGCCUACCAAGGCGACGAUCAGUAGCUGGUCUGAGAGGACGACCAGCCACACUGGGACUGAGACACGGCCCAGACUCCUACGGGAGGCAGCAGUGGGGAAUUUUGGACAAUGGGCGAAAGCCUGAUCCAGCAAUGCCGCGUGUGUGAAGAAGGCCUUCGGGUUGUAAAGCACUUUUGUCCGGAAAGAAAUACUUGGCCCUAAUACGGUCGGGGGAUGACGGUACCGGAAGAAUAAGCCCCGGCUAACUACGUG